GAUGAACGCUAGCUACAUGCUUAACACAUGCAAGUCGCAGGGUAACAUGAGGUAUGCUUGCUUUCCUUGAUGACGACUGGCGCACGGGGGAGGAACGAGUAGCCAACGUUCCCCUAACUACGUGAUAACCCGCUUAAAGACCGCCGAAUACUGUAUGAUAGCGUUUGCUGACAGCGAAUGAGGAGGAAAGCGUUAGCGGUGAGGGAGGGGGCUAGGUCUGUAUAGCUUGUUGGGGGGGUGAAGGCCCACCAAGGCGACGAUCAGGAGGGGAUCUGAGAGGGAGGUCCCCCACAAUGGAACUGAGAAAACGUCCAAGCUCCUACCGGAGGCAGCAGUGAGGAAUAUUGGUAAAUGGGCGAGAGCCUGAACCAGCCAAGUAGCGUGCAGGAAGGCGGCCCUAUGGGUUGUAAACUGCUUUUAUGCGGGGGUAAGGUGCGUGACGUGUAAUGCAUUGACGGUACCAGAUGAAUAAGGACCGGCUAAUUACGUG
This 490-nucleotide ribosomal RNA is filed under the name uncultured bacterium. RNAcentral's name for it is "partial 16S ribosomal RNA". It matches the Rfam family "Bacterial small subunit ribosomal RNA", at positions 28 to 507 of the family's 1533-position model. The record is from RNAcentral.